UACAGAGGUCUCAAGCGUUGUUCGGAUUCAUUGGGCGUAAAGGGUGCGUAGGCGGCGCGGUAAGUCGGGUGUGAAAUCUCGGGGCUUAACUCCGAAGCUGCAUUCGAUACUGCCGUGCUUGAGGACUGGAGAGGAGACUGGAAUUUACGGUGUAGCGGUGAAAUGCGUAGAUAUCGUAAGGAAGACCAGUGGCGAAGGCGGGGUCUCUGGACAGUUCCUGACGCUGAGGCACGAAGGCCAGGGGAGCAAACGGG
RNAcentral lists this ribosomal RNA (254 nucleotides) under uncultured bacterium. Its description in RNAcentral is "partial 16S ribosomal RNA". It matches the Rfam family "Bacterial small subunit ribosomal RNA", at positions 524 to 776 of the family's 1533-position model. The record is from RNAcentral.